GACGAACGCUGGCGGCGUGCUUAACACAUGCAAGUCGAGCGGAAAGGCCCUUCGGGGUACUCGAGCGGCGAACGGGUGAGUAACACGUGAGUAACCUGCCCCAGACUUUGGGAUAACCCUCGGAAACGGGGGCUAAUACCGGAUACGACACAGCUUCGCAUGGGGUCUGUGUGGAAAGUUUUUCGGUUUGGGAUGGGCUCGCGGCCUAUCAGCUUGUUGGUGGGGUGAUGGCCUACCAAGGCGACGACGGGUAGCCGGCCUGAGAGGGCGACCGGCCACACUGGGACUGAGACACGGCCCAGACUCCUACGGGAGGCAGCAGUGGGGAAUAUUGCACAAUGGGCGGAAGCCUGAUGCAGCGACGCCGCGGGAGGGAUGACGGCCUUCGGGUUGUAAACCUCUUUCAGCAGGGACGAAGCGUAAGUGACGGUACCUGCAGAAGAAGCGCCGGCCAACUACGUGC
Molecule: ribosomal RNA, 463 nt
Filed under: uncultured bacterium
Lineage: Bacteria
Description: partial 16S ribosomal RNA
Rfam family: Bacterial small subunit ribosomal RNA
Source: RNAcentral